CCCAGAACGCCGGGGUUCUUUCUCGAGUUGGUCAUCUGGCUUUUUAAGACGGGGUGGUGGUGGUGGUGGUGCCAGGGAGUGCAUAGGUUGGAUUCGACAGUUCCUGGGCCUGGAAACCUAAAUUAAAGAGUGCUUUGAAUUUAGGACUCCCUGCCACUGCCUUUCUAACAGCAUCCAGAAGAGACAAAUUCCAGGCAGAGGGACUGGUUGGGCCCGUAGCUCAGUGGAAGAGCAUCUGCUUUGCAUGCAGAAGGUCCCGGGUUCCGUCCUUGGCAGCAUCUCCAGUAUGCACUCCCGCACUUUGCUCGAGCGGAAGACGAAUGUGAGAAAUUAGUCUGCUUAAAGCCAGAGAAGGAAAGAAACUGUGUUGCUGUGAAUUAAAAAUGCAAAUAUGUCCCCAAAA
This is a long non-coding RNA of Hemicordylus capensis (graceful crag lizard), 403 nucleotides long. RefSeq lists it as uncharacterized. The transcript is spliced from 2 exons. The record is from RefSeq and is a predicted model, not a curated record. Lineage: Eukaryota; Metazoa; Chordata; Lepidosauria; Squamata; Cordylidae.